GACGAACGCUGGCGGCGUGCUUAACACAUGCAAGUCGAACGGAAAGGCCCUGCUUUUGCGGGGUGCUCGAGUGGCGAACGGGUGAGUAACACGUGAGUAACCUGCCCUUGACUUUGGGAUAACUUCAGGAAACUGGGGCUAAUACCGGAUAGGAGCUCCUGCUGCAUGGUGGGGGUUGGAAAGUGUCGGCGGUUGGGGAUGUACUCGCGGCUUAUCAGCUUGUUGGUGGGGUAGUGGCUUACCAAGGCUUUGACGGGUAGCCGGCCUGAGAGGGUGACCGGCGACAUUGGGACUGAGGUACGCCCCAGAAGCGUACGGGAGGCAGCAGGGGGGAGUCUUGCACAAUGGGCGGAAGCGUGAUGCAGCAACGCCGCGUGCGGGAUGACGGCCUUCGGGGUAUAAACCACUUUCGACGGAGACGAAGCGUGAGUGACGGUAAUGAGUAAAGAAGCACCGGCUAACUACGUG
This 468-nucleotide ribosomal RNA is filed under the name uncultured bacterium. RNAcentral's name for it is "partial 16S ribosomal RNA". It matches the Rfam family "Bacterial small subunit ribosomal RNA", at positions 28 to 507 of the family's 1533-position model. The record is from RNAcentral.